This 141-nucleotide small nucleolar RNA is filed under the name Schizosaccharomyces osmophilus. RNAcentral's name for it is "box H/ACA small nucleolar RNA snR93". It matches the Rfam family "small nucleolar RNA snR93". The record is from RNAcentral. Lineage: Eukaryota; Fungi; Ascomycota; Schizosaccharomycetes; Schizosaccharomycetales; Schizosaccharomycetaceae.
AUGCACAUUUACUAGAGGUGAUCGUUGUAAUUAGUACGGUCGUCUUGUAUUGCUGUGCUAGAUUGAUUUGUCCGUCUUAUACAUAUUGGCGAUGCAUCGGUAAAAAAACCCGCGUAUUGUCAAGAAUGGGCGGACACAACG